UUUAGAGUUUGAUCCAUGGCUCAGAUUGAACGCUGGCGGCAGGCUUAACACAUGCAAGUCGAGCGGUAACAGGUCCAGCUUGUUGGAUGUUGACGAGCGGCGGACGGGUGAGUAACGCAUAGGAAUCUACCCGGUAGUGGGGGAUAACCUGGGGAAACCCAGGCUAAUACCGCAUACGUCCUACGGGAGAAAGGGGGCUUAGGCUCCCGCUAUUGGAUGAGCCUAUGCCGGAUUAGCUGGUUGGUGAGGUAAUGGCUCACCAAGGCGACGAUCCGUAGCUGGUCUGAGAGGAUGAUCAGCCACAUCGGGACUGAGACACGGCCCGAACUCCUACGGGAGGCAGCAGUGGGGAAUAUUGGACAAUGGGGGCAACCCUGAUCCAGCCAUGCCGCGUGUGUGAAGAAGGCCCUCGGGUUGUAAAGCACUUUCAGCGAUGGAAGAACGCCUGUCGGUUAAUACCCGGUAGGAAAGACUACACUCGCAGAAGAAGCACCGGCA
RNAcentral lists this ribosomal RNA (498 nucleotides) under Halomonas sp. V4S-041. RNAcentral's name for it is "bacterial SSU rRNA". It matches the Rfam family "Bacterial small subunit ribosomal RNA", at positions 1 to 498 of the family's 1533-position model. Lineage: Bacteria; Pseudomonadati; Pseudomonadota; Gammaproteobacteria; Oceanospirillales; Halomonadaceae. The record is from RNAcentral.